AGAGUUUGAUCCUGGCUCAGGAUGAACGCUAGCUACAGGCUUAACACAUGCAAGUCGAGGGGAAACGACAUCGAAAGCUUGCUUUUGAUGGGCGUCGACCGGCGCACGGGUGAGUAACGCGUAUCCAACCUGCCCAUCACUUGGGGAUAACCUUGCGAAAGUAAGACUAAUACCCAAUGACGUCUCUAGAAGACAUCUGAAAGAGAUUAAAGAUUUAUCGGUGAUGGAUGGGGAUGCGUCUGAUUAGCUUGUUGGCGGGGUAACGGCCCACCAAGGCGACGAUCAGUAGGGGUUCUGAGAGGAAGGUCCCCCACAUUGGAACUGAGACACGGUCCAAACUCCUACGGGAGGCAGCAGUGAGGAAUAUUGGUCAAUGGGCGAGAGCCUGAACCAGCCAAGUAGCGUGCAGGAUGACGGCCCUAUGGGUUGUAAACUGCUUUUAUAAGGGAAUAAAGUGAGUCUCGUGAGACUUUUUGCAUGUACCUUAUGAAUAAGGACCGGCUAAUUCCGUGCCAGCAGCCGCGGUAAUACGGAAGGUCCGGGCGUUAUCCGGAUUUAUUGGGUUUAAAGGGAGCGUAGGCCGGAGAUUAAGCGUGUUGUGAAAUGUAGACGCUCAACGUCUGCACUGCAGCGCGAACUGGUUUCCUUGAGUACGCACAAAGUGGGCGGAAUUCGUGGUGUAGCGGUGAAAUGCUUAGAUAUCACGAAGAACUCCGAUUGCGAAGGCAGCUCACUGGAGCGCAACUGACGCUGAAGCUCGAAAGUGCGGGUAUCGAACAGGAUUAGAUACCCUGGUAGUCCGCACGGUAAACGAUGGAUGCCCGCUGUUGGUCUGAAUAGGUCAGCGGCCAAGCGAAAGCAUUAAGCAUCCCACCUGGGGAGUACGCCGGCAACGGUGAAACUCAAAGGAAUUGACG
This 917-nucleotide ribosomal RNA is filed under the name uncultured bacterium. RNAcentral's name for it is "bacterial SSU rRNA". It matches the Rfam family "Bacterial small subunit ribosomal RNA", at positions 8 to 915 of the family's 1533-position model. The record is from RNAcentral.